UGAGGAAUAUUGGACAAUGGAGGCAACUCUGAUCCAGCCAUGCCGCGUGCAGGAAGACUGCCCUAUGGGUUGUAAACUGCUUUUAUACAGGAAGAACCACACCUACGUGUAGGUGCUUGACGGUACUGUAUGAAUAAGGAUCGGCUAACUCCGUGCCAGCAGCCGCGGUAAUACGGAGGAUCCAAGCGUUAUCCGGAAUCAUUGGGUUUAAAGGGUCCGUAGGCGGGACAAUAAGUCAGUGGUGAAAGUCUUCCGCUCAACGGGAGAAUUGCCAUUGAUACUGUUGUUCUUGAAUUAGUAUGAAGUGGUUGGAAUGAGUAGUGUAGCGGUGAAAUGCAUAGAUAUUACUCAGAACACCUAUUGCGAAGGCAGAUCACUAAUACUAUAUUGACGCUGAUGGACGAAAGCGUAGGUAGCGAACAGG
Molecule: ribosomal RNA, 424 nt
Filed under: uncultured bacterium
Lineage: Bacteria
Description: bacterial SSU rRNA
Rfam family: Bacterial small subunit ribosomal RNA
Source: RNAcentral